ACUCCUACGGGAGGCAGCAGUGGGGAAUAUUGCACAAUGGGCGCAAGCCUGAUGCAGCCAUGCCGCGUGUGUGAAGAAGGCCUUCGGGUUGUAAAGCACUUUCAGUCGUGAGGAAGGUAGUGUCGUUAAUAGCGGCAUCAUUUGACGUUAGCAACAGAAGAAGCACCGGCUAACUCCGUGCCAGCAGCCGCGGUAAUACGGAGGGUGCGAGCGUUAAUCGGAAUUACUGGGCGUAAAGCGCAUGCAGGUGGUUUGUUAAGUCAGAUGUGAAAGCCCGGGGCUCAACCUCGGAACUGCAUUUGAAACUGGCAGACUAGAGUACUGUAGAGGGGGGUAGAAUUUCAGGUGUAGCGGUGAAAUGCGUAGAGAUCUGAAGGAAUACCGGUGGCGAAGGCGGCCCCCUGGACAGAUACUGACACUCAGAUGCGAAAGCGUGGGGAGCAAACAGGAUUAGAUACCCUGGUAGCACAGAG
This 473-nucleotide ribosomal RNA is filed under the name uncultured bacterium. RNAcentral describes it as "bacterial SSU rRNA". It matches the Rfam family "Bacterial small subunit ribosomal RNA", at positions 335 to 799 of the family's 1533-position model. The record is from RNAcentral.